RNAcentral lists this long non-coding RNA (4724 nucleotides) under Daucus carota (carrot). RNAcentral's name for it is "long non-coding RNA (DCAR_LNC003957)". Lineage: Eukaryota; Viridiplantae; Streptophyta; Magnoliopsida; Apiales; Apiaceae. The record is from RNAcentral.
AGUACCAGGACCAACAUCCUCCAUAACUUCUGGGCGCAGAGAACUAUUACCGGCGUCUGAUGUUUCCAUAGUAACGGGACUGGAAACCUUAAUAACUUGUGGCGGCAAAGAAUUGUUACCAGCAUCUGAAACUUCCAUAGCACUAGGACUCUCAAUCUUCAAAACUUGUGGCUGCAGAGAAUUAUUGCCAGCAUCUGAAAUUUCCAUAGGAGGGCUGUCAGUCUUCAAAUCUUCUGGUUGUGGAGAAUCAUUACUCUGUAGGGCACCUGAAUUCUCAAUAGUACCAGCAUCAGCAAUAUCAUCAACAUCUGUCUGCUCAGCUUUAAUCUCGGUCCCUACAAGUAAAUUCGUUUGAGAAGUGCCAGGCACCGCAGGUACAUUAUCUAGUAUGUCCUGAAUUUUGCGCUGCUUUUGCACUGGUUCAACUGGAGGAUAAACCCUCAAAGUGUUGUCUGUACAAGGUACAGCACCAGCUUUAGACUGGUUUGCAGAUGCGGGCUCAUUUGAAGCAUAAAGUUGCUGCAACCUGUAAUCAGUCUCAGGUCGACGACAAACCUUACUCAGCGGCACAAUUUCCUGAAAUCAAUUACAAAGCAAGUUAUCAUUAACCCUAAUUACAAUGUACAUGUUAAAACAAAAUCAGAUUAAAACUUGAAUCAUCAUAUCCCGCUAUACUCUUUUUCAUAAUUAAAUAUCAUUAAUUAUGAAAUUGGUGUAAAAUUUGCAACCUACUCUAUUCCAUGAAUAAUCUAAAACAAAAUCAGAUUAAAACUUGAAUCAUCAUAUCGCGCUAUACUCUUUGUCAUAAUUAAAAAUCAUUAAUUAUGGAAUUGGUGUAAAAUUUGCAACCUAUUUUAUUCCAUGAAUAAUCUAAAACAAAAUCAGAUUAAAACUUGAAUCAUCAUAUCUCACAUAGGGAACUAAAACCUAUAUUUUCAAACAUGAUUUAACAAUUAUAGAUGCUCUGAGUGUAUAUAUAGAGGCGGGACUAUUGUGCAUAGCAAAUCGGAAUCGAAAUCCAGAAACUAAAUCGAUCAUGCCCUCUUCAGAGGAAGCCUUGGCCUCAGAAUUAAGGGCACAAGAAAGAAAUAGGUGCUUCUCUAGUUGCUGCUGCUCGCUUUUUCUUUAUACCCUGUAUUGAUAUGGCUAACUUUAUAUAUGGUAAAUCAAAGCUCCGUCUCAUUAUCUCUCGAAGAUCUUACGAUAGCUGAUGUUCAAACCUCCAACGUCUCCGCUCCUAACCAGACAUUUAUUUACUUCAAACUCCACCUCGAAAAUAAAAAAGAUGUUAUGUCAGUUUAUUAUGGAAACCUCAGCCUCAGUUUCUCUUAAUAUCGCAGUUCAGAUGAUAUUGUUCAACUAGCCAACUACACCAUUCAGAAAUUCCAACAGGGUAUUGGUAAAAAGACCAAUCAACAAACUUCUAUGAUGCUAAAUCAAGGGAUCUUGUGGCGAGAAAUUUCCAAGAACGCGACGUCUGUUAUUUUUUUUCGGGUUGAUUUAGCAGGUGUAGUGAGAUUUAGCGAGUUAAACUUCAAAAGCAAGAAGCGCGAGAUAAUGGCAUGGGCUAAGGUGGAGCUUGAUCCAGUCAGUGGUAAGAGAAUGAGUAAGAAAGCUGUUCAGCUCGAGCAUACGAUUAAGCAUCAUGUUAGUGGCUGGGUUACUUUCUUUUUCGUAUACUUGAUGAUUGCUACUAUUCUCUCGUGUCUUUGGUGUUGCCUUUGCCUAGUGGGCGUGACACUAGGCUGCUGCUGGUCCUAAACAAGGAAUCAUUAGCAUAGUAUUUUUUAUUUCAAUAAAAUUCCUCUCUGAGUAAGGAAUUCUAUCUCUCUGGAUUGUAUUUUUUAUUUUAAUAAAAUCUUUUUUGGGUGUUGGUCCAAUUUAUUUGGAUUUUAUUUAUCAUCUCCUUGUGAGAGCGUGGUGUAUUUUGUUUUCUAUUUUUAAUGUAAUUCAAUGUCCAGGAUGUUAGAUCUUUCAAUUUGAGAGUUUGAUUCGUGAUAAAGAUACGUAUGAAAUUGCAAUCACGGUCGAUAACUCAAAUUACGUAUGAACGGCAAUUUCCAUGGUAAUCCUUUUCGGAACUUUUCGACUCAGCUUAGAAUUAUAAAGAUGCAUGUCAUGUCCCGGCAAAAGAUUUUUUCCCACAAACUUUCUGCGCGUUUUUAUAGCAGAAAUAUAGAAAUCCUAGAACAGGUGUUUAAAACACAAAUGACGUUAUGCCUCCGGCAUUUACAUAUGUCUUGGCGGUUCCGGAUAAAUUACUGCAGAAAUUGAUCGUUAGAGACACAAAUCCGAUAUAAUAUUAUCAUAUGCAGACUUGCCCACUGCUAACAUGUUGCCUUAAAAUAAACUUGAGGGCUAUGUUAAUUUGCAACAGUAAAAUUACAAACUGUAAAAUCAUGCAUGCUGCUAAGCCAUUUUCAACAUACCCUACAGUUACUAGCACUUUGGUUGAUUGCAGCAGCAUUCCGUGAUUAUGAUUUGGUUAGAAAUAUUUGUAUACUCAACAGUGGAUUGUUGGGUUUGUGGAGUCAGAUUCGGAAUAUGAUUUGGUUAGAAAUAUUUGUAUACCCAACGUGGAGUCAGAUUCGGAUUAGGAUUUGGUUAGAAAUAUUUAUAUACUCAACAUGGAUCUGUGCUUGAAUCUUGAUACACAAAAUUGCAUAGCAAAACGAAACCAAGAAAAACAGAAACUAAAUCGAUCAUGGCGGAACUCGACGACAGAGAUUUGGAUUUCAUUUGUGCAGCUGCAGAAGCAACAAAGACUGUCUCUAGUUGCAUAGCGUUUUGUACUUUAACCCCUCUAUGGAUAUGGCUAACUUUAUAUAUGGUAAAUCAAAGCUCCGUCUCAUUAUCUCUUGAAGAUUUUACUAUAGCUGAUGUUCAAACCUCCAACGUCUCCGCUCCUAACCAGACAUUUAUUUACUUCAAACUCCACCUCGAAAAUAAAAAAGAUGUUAUGUCACUUGAUUAUGGAAACCUCAGCCUCAGUUUUUCUUAUUAUCGCGGUUCAGAUGAUAUUGUUCAACUAGCCAACUACACCAUUCAGAAAUUCCAUCAGGGUAUUAGUAAAAAGACCAAUCAACAAACUUCUGUGAUGCUAAAUCCAGGGAUCUCGUGGCGAGAAAUUUCCAAGAACGCGACGUCUGUGAUUUCUCGGGUUGAUUUAGCAGGUGUAGUAAGAUUCAGCCAGUUGCACUACUUCAAGAGCAAGAAGCGCAAGAUAAUGGCAUGGGCUAAGGUGGAGCUUGAUCCAGUCAGUGGUAACAGAAUGAGUAAGAAAGCUGUUCGGCUGAAGCAUACGAUUAAGCAUCAUGUUAGUGGCUGGGUUACUUUCUUUUUCGUAGUCAUGAUAAUUGCUACUAUUUGUUCACCUCNUAUAGAGUAAGAAUUUUUGUCUAUCUAGAAGAUUGUAUUGUCCAUUUGAUAAAAUCUGUUUGUGUGUUUUAUUCCCAGUUUAUUUAAGUUUUGUUUAUCUUCACCAUGUGAGAGCUUGGUAUGUUUUUUACGUGUUUUGUUGUGAUUCAAUGUCCAGUUACAUCUUCCAAAUUUUGAAGGGUUUGAUUCCGUGAUAAAAUUUUGUUUGAAAUUAUAAUUAUGACUGACAGCUCAAACUAAUUAUGGUGAAGUGGAUACAUGUAUCAUUUAUUUCAGGAAGGGCUUUCAUAAUGUACUCUAGCCCUUCAUAAUGUACUCUUCUUUCUUUUUCUUCGACCAUCACCGAUCAGUCGUCCACCGUCAAUUUGAGGAGUUUGUGUUUAUUUGAUUUGCCCUCUUGAGUUCACUAAUCACUGGGUUUGCAUAAUUAAAAAAUGUAAAAAAAAAAUGGAGUGCCACGGAUGAAUUGCUGCAGAAAUCGAUUGUUAGAAAUAUAAUAUUAUCAUAUGCAAACUUGCCCACUGCUAACAUGUUGCCUUAAAGGAAACUUGAGGGCUAUGUUGAUUUGCAACAGUAAAAUUACAAACUUGAAAUAUACAGUCAUGCGGGCUGCCAUAGCCAUUUUCAACAUACCCUAAAGUUACUAGCACUUUGGUUGAUUGCAGCAGCAUCGCGAUUUCCUUGGAUAAAUACUAUUUGGACUAAUUAAGCUGCAGCACCCAGCGGAAUAUUUUCACUUCCUGAACUACCAGAAGUCUCUUCAAUUUCUGACUGAGGUGCGACAGGUAAAUUUUCUUGACUAUCAUUAACAUGCGGGACAGGUGAAUUACCUAGAUCAGCAUCACUGACUAUCUCAGCGACUUCUUGCUGCAUAACAAUUGUGGGUGAAGCAUUUAAACUAUCCAAAUCACCGACGUUUGUGAUCUCAGUAACUUUUGGCUGCUGAACACCACCAGCAUCUGAAAUUUCUGUAGUACUAGGACCAACAUUCUCCAUAACUUCUGGGUGCAGAGAACUAUUACCGGCGUCUGAUGUUUCCAUAGUAACGGGACUGGAAACCUUAAUAACUUGUGGCGGCAAAGAAUUGUUCCCAGCAUCUGAAACUUCCAUAGCACUAGGACUCUCAAUCUUCAAAACUUGUGGCUGCAGAGAAUUAUCGCCAGCAUCUGAAAUUUCCAUAGAAGGGCUGUCAGUCUUCAAAUCUUCUGGUUGUGGAGAAUCAUUACUCUGUAGGGCACCUGAAUUCUCAAUAGUACCAGCAUCAGCAAUAUCAUCAACAUCUGUCUGCUCAGCUUUAAUCUCGGUCCCUACAAGUAAAUUCGUUUGAGAAGUGCCAGGCACCGCAG